RNAcentral lists this ribosomal RNA (820 nucleotides) under Paramyrothecium lathyri. RNAcentral's name for it is "partial large subunit ribosomal RNA". It matches the Rfam family "Eukaryotic large subunit ribosomal RNA", at positions 76 to 929 of the family's 3401-position model. Lineage: Eukaryota; Fungi; Ascomycota; Sordariomycetes; Hypocreales; Stachybotryaceae. The record is from RNAcentral.
UGCCUCAGUAACGGCGAGUGAAGCGGCAACAGCUCAAAUUUGAAAUCUGGCCCUAGGCCCGAGUUGUAAUUUGCAGAGGAUGCUUUUGGUGAGGUGCCUUCCGAGUUCCCUGGAACGGGACGCCAUAGAGGGUGAGAGCCCCGUCUGGUCGGACACCGAGCCUCUGUAAAGCUCCUUCGACGAGUCGAGUAGUUUGGGAAUGCUGCUCUAAAUGGGAGGUAUAUGUCUUCUAAAGCUAAAUAUUGGCCAGAGACCGAUAGCGCACAAGUAGAGUGAUCGAAAGAUGAAAAGCACUUUGAAAAGAGAGUUAAAUAGCACGUGAAAUUGUUGAAAGGGAAGCGUUUAUGACCAGACUUGGCCCGGUUGAUCAUCCAGCGUUCUCGCUGGUGCACUCUGCCGGUCCAGGCCAGCAUCAGUUCGUCGCGGGGGAUAAAGGCUUCGGGAAUGUGGCUCCUCCGGGAGUGUUAUAGCCCGUUGCGUAAUACCCUGCGGUGGACUGAGGUCCGCGCUUCUGCAAGGAUGCUGGCGUAAUGGUCAUCAACGACCCGUCUUGAAACACGGACCAAGGAGUCGUCUUCGUAUGCGAGUGUUCGGGUGUAAAACCCCUACGCGUAAUGAAAGUGAACGCAGGUGAGAGCUUCGGCGCAUCAUCGACCGAUCCUGAUGUUCUCGGAUGGAUUUGAGUAAGAGCAUACGGGGCCGGACCCGAAAGAAGGUGAACUAUGCCUGUAUAGGGUGAAGCCAGAGGAAACUCUGGUGGAGGCUCGCAGCGGUUCUGACGUGCAAAUCGAUCGUCAAAUAUGGGCAUGGGGGGCGAAAG